CGGUCACAUAACGUUGAAAAACAGAUUCUCGUAUGAUCACCAAAGUUAAGCAACGUUGAGCUUAGCCAGUACCUAGAUGAGUGACCACUGGGGAAUUCUAGAUGUUGUAA
Acanthosepion pharaonis is the source of this 110-nucleotide non-coding RNA. NCBI's taxonomy places the organism in Eukaryota, Metazoa, Mollusca, Cephalopoda, Sepiida, Sepiidae. The record is from the annotation of a GenBank genome assembly.